RNAcentral lists this ribosomal RNA (1541 nucleotides) under marine sediment metagenome. RNAcentral describes it as "bacterial LSU rRNA". It matches the Rfam family "Bacterial large subunit ribosomal RNA", at positions 497 to 2008 of the family's 2925-position model. The record is from RNAcentral.
AGUACCGUGAGGGAAAGGUGAAAAGAACCGCAGUGAGCGGAGUGAAAUAGAACCUGAAACCAUCUGCCUACAAUCAUUCAGAGCCCUAUGCUAUACGCAGGGUGAUGGACUGCCUUUUGCAUAAUGAGCCUGCGAGUUAUGGUGACUAGCAAGGUUAAUCAAACGAGAAGCCGUAGCGAAAGCGAGUCUUAAUAGGGCGUUAGUUAGUUGCUGUAGACCCGAAACUAAGUGAUCUAUCCAUGGGCAGGUUGAAGCUGGUGUAAGAGCUAGUGGAGGACCGAACGGGUGAAGGUUUAAAACUUCUCCGAUGACCUGUGGAUAGGGGUGAAAGGCCAAUCAAACUUAGUGAUAGCUGGUUCUCUCCGAAAUAUAUUUAGGUAUAGCGUCAUGUUCGAAGCAUGAGGGGGUAGAGCACUGAUUGGGCUAGGGCCUAUACCAAGGUACCAAACCCAGUCAAACUCCGAAUACCUCAUGUGAAUUCAUGGCAGUCAGGUUGUGGGUGAUAAAAUCCAUGAUCGAGAGGGAAACAGCCCAGACUACCAGCUAAGGUCCCAAAGUUCUAAUUAAGUGGAAAAGGAUGUGGAGUUGCUUAGACAACCAGGAGGUUGGCUUAGAAGCAGCCAUCCUUUAAAGAAAGCGUAACAGCUCACUGGUCUAGCGAUUCUGCGCCGAAGAUAUAACGGGGCUAAAUUAGACACCGAAGCUGUAGAUUUAGUAUUUAUACUAAGUGGUAGGAGAGCGUUCUAGUCAGCAUUGAAGCCAUACCGGUAAGGAGUGGUGGAGCGGCUAGAAGUGAGCAUGCAGGCAUGAGUAGCGAGAAAACGGGUGAGAAUCCCGUUCGCCGUAAACCCAAGGGUUCCUACACUAUGCUCGUCAAUGUAGGGUUAGUCGGGUCCUAAGCUGAGUCCGAAAGGGGUAAGCGAUGGCAAAUUGGUUAAUAUUCCAAUACCAACUAAUAGUUUAGUACGAUGGGGGGACGCAUAGGGUUAAACGAGGUCACUGAUGGAAUAGUGGCUCGAAGGGUGUAGAUAAGCUGGAUAGGAAAAUCCGCCGGCUGUUUUCGAGACCUGACAGGCAGAUCGAGUUCUUCGGAACAACAUCUGAAUCGUUGAUACCGUCGUGCCAAGAAAAGCCUCUAAGUGUAUUAUUAGUUGCCCGUACCGUAAACCGACACAGGUGGGUGAGAUGAGUAUUCUAAGGCGCGUGGAAGAACCCUGGUUAAGGAACUCUGCAAACUAGCACCGUAACUUCGGAAUAAGGUGUGCCUCCUUCUGUAUAGAGAUUUACUCUCGAAAGCGGAAGAGGUUGCAACAAAGAGUCCCUCCCGACUGUUUAUCAAAAACACAGCACUUUGCUAACUCGCAAGAGGAUGUAUAAGGUGUGACGCCUGCCCGGUGCUUGAAGGUUAAUUGAUGGGGUUAGUUCUUCGGAACGAAGCUCUUGAUCGAAGCCCAAGUAAACGGCGGCCGUAACUAUAACGGUCCUAAGGUAGCGAAAUUCCUUGUCGGUUAAAUACCGACCUGCAUGAAUGGCGUAACGAG